This 541-nucleotide ribosomal RNA is filed under the name uncultured bacterium. Its description in RNAcentral is "bacterial SSU rRNA". It matches the Rfam family "Bacterial small subunit ribosomal RNA", at positions 125 to 700 of the family's 1533-position model. The record is from RNAcentral.
UCUGCCCAAAGGUUCGGAAUAACUCAGGGAAACUUGAGCUAAUACCGGAUAAUGUCGCAAGACCAAAGAUUUAUUGCCUUUGGAUGAGCCCGCGUAGGAUUAGCUAGUUGGUGGGGUAAAGGCCUACCAAGGCGACGAUCCUUAGCUGGUCUGAGAGGAUGAUCAGCCACACUGGGACUGAGACACGGCCCAGACUCCUACGGGAGGCAGCAGUGGGGAAUAUUGGACAAUGGGCGAAAGCCUGAUCCAGCAAUGCCGCGUGAGUGAUGAAGGCCCUCGGGUCGUAAAGCUCUUUUACCCGGGAUGAUAAUGACAGUACCGGGAGAAUAAGCUCCGGCUAACUCCGUGCCAGCAGCCGCGGUAAUACGGAGGGAGCUAGCGUUGUUCGGAAUUACUGGGCGUAAAGCGCACGUAGGCGGCUGUUCAAGUCAGAGGUGAAAGCCCGGGGCUCAACCCCGGAACUGCCUUUGAAACUAGACAGCUAGAAUCUUGGAGAGGCGAGUGGAAUUCCGAGUGUAGAGGUGAAAUUCGUAGAUAUUCG